Oncorhynchus keta (chum salmon) is the source of this 877-nucleotide long non-coding RNA. RefSeq lists it as uncharacterized. Lineage: Eukaryota; Metazoa; Chordata; Actinopteri; Salmoniformes; Salmonidae. The record is from RefSeq and is a predicted model, not a curated record. The transcript is spliced from 2 exons.
ACAGCAGUGGAGGGAACGGGUGGAGGGGGCGUGUGUGUUUAAACAGGGUGUGUGUUAGAGGAUGGGUGCCCCUAGCCAAAACAUGCAUGCCACUCCCCCUACCCUCAUGAUUCAGCGGAAAAUCCCCAAGUUGCAGGGGUAUCGGUGUGUCUGGUGUGUGUAGAAUGCUGAUCACUGGGAAGUCCGCUGGGAACAUGGGAAGGAGAAUAGGAACACACACAAUACGAUCAUACAAAGAAAUGAACGAUCAAAUUGAUAGCGACUCCGACUGGGAGCCCCGGGAGCCAAGCUGCCCGCUCUACCUCUGCCCCCUCUACUCCCACCUCCAGUGGUGUUCGUAUGCCACAGUUCAUUACUGCAGGCAUGACUGUGCCUCAGGGCCAAAAGGGCACAGCAUGGAGGCGUUGUUGUGUUCUGUGUCGCAUGAAGUCCCCGAUCACCUGCACCAGUUGUUCAGUUUGCCUCUGCUUUACAUCAGAAAGAGACCGCUAUGGGACAUGGCACAGGCAGCACUUCCAAAUGGUAAAAAUGUCUUCUAUUAUUUAAAAAAAAACAUUUUUAUAAAAACUGUUGUGUGUUAGAAUUGCUUUUUGAUAUGUUGUAUAUAGUUAUUUGCACUUUUGUAUAUAGUUAUAGGUCAUUUCACCAAUUCGGCCACUUGGGUACAUUUGGGCAACUUGUGUGGGACACCUGGGUGACUUCAUGCUAAAUGUCAUGUAGCUCACCCAUUCCUGAAGUUAUCAGUCUGAAACUUUGCACUCCUAGAGUUUCCCUCUUGUGUUAUCCAUCAAAAUGAUCUCAAGCAUCCUAUCUGACUGUGUGGCUAUUAUAGUACAUGUGAAAGAUGAUGCUACAACAAUAAAAAACAGAAAACGUA